RNAcentral lists this ribosomal RNA (433 nucleotides) under uncultured bacterium. RNAcentral describes it as "partial 16S ribosomal RNA". It matches the Rfam family "Bacterial small subunit ribosomal RNA", at positions 30 to 507 of the family's 1533-position model. The record is from RNAcentral.
AACGAACGCUGGCGGCAUGCCUAACACAUGCAAGUCGAACGAGACCUUCGUGUCUAGUGGCGCACGGGUGCGUAACGCGUUGGAACCUGCCCUUAGGUUCGGAAUAACUCCCCGUAAGGGGUGCUAAUACCGGUUAAUGUCUUCUGACCAAAGAUUUAUCGACUUUGGUUGGGCGCGCGUUGUAUUAGCUUUUUUGUAGGGUAAAAGCCUAGUACGGCGAGAAUUCAUAGCUGGUCUGAGAGGAUGAUCAGACACACUGGGACUGUGACACGGAGCAGAAUACGAGGGAAGGGAGGAGAGGGGAAUAUAGGAAAAGGGGGGAAAGGAAGAAAGAGCAAGGGCGGGAGAGAGAUGAAGGCGUGAGGGAAGUAAAGCAGUUUUACACGGGAAGAUAAUGACAGUACCGGGAGAAUAAGCACCGGCUAACUCCGUG